Molecule: ribosomal RNA, 307 nt
Filed under: Amigdoscalpellum elegans
Lineage: Eukaryota; Metazoa; Arthropoda; Thecostraca; Scalpellidae
Description: partial 12S ribosomal RNA
Source: RNAcentral
AAAGGAUUUGACGGCAAACCAGCCUUUUAGAGGAACCUGUCCUGUAAACGAUAUUCCUCGAAAAACUUUACUUUUGUUAGAGAUCAGUUUGUAUACCGCUGUUGACAGUUAGUUUUAUUAGAAAAUUUUCUUAAAUGAGUAUUCAUGUACUUCAAGUAAAGGUGCAGCUAAUGCAGAAGAGAGAGAUGGGUUACAUUUAAAAGAGUAAUAACGGAUAAGGGGGUGAGAGGCCUUUUUGAAGGAGGAUUUAAAAGUAAGAAUUUUUAUAUUUUGACAAGAGCUCUGUUUUGUGUACAUACCGCCCGUC